RNAcentral lists this ribosomal RNA (253 nucleotides) under uncultured bacterium. RNAcentral's name for it is "partial 16S ribosomal RNA". It matches the Rfam family "Bacterial small subunit ribosomal RNA", at positions 524 to 776 of the family's 1533-position model. The record is from RNAcentral.
UACGGGGGGAGCAAGCGUUGUUCGGAUUUACUGGGCGUAAAGGGCGCGUAGGCGGCGCGGUAAGCGUGCGGUGAAAGCCCGGGGCUCAACCCCGGGUCGGCCGUGCGGACUGCCGGGCUGGAGCACUGUAGAGGCAGGUGGAAUUCCGGGUGUAGCGGUGGAAUGCGUAGAGAUCCGGAAGAACACCGGUGGCGAAGGCGGCCUGCUGGGCAGUAGCUGACGCUGAAGCGCGACAGCGUGGGGAGCAAACAGG